GUAAAAUAAUAUUUUUAGCAUUAUAGUAUAUGGAUGGAUAUUGCCCCCACAAUCUAAUAUUUCUGGCUCCGCCACCGGUGCUAAUACAACUUUAAUAUGGUAUUAAUACCACUCUUUAUGGUACUGAGACCAUUCUAAUAUAAUACUAGAACCAUUAUGACAGGGAACUUGGACCAGUCUGAUAUGGUGUUUCCACCAUACUAAUAUUAGCAUGUAUUUUUAAGUAUGCAUUUCGAGAGGCAAAAUGGUUAUCAAAA
Molecule: long non-coding RNA, 257 nt
Filed under: Medicago truncatula (barrel medic)
Lineage: Eukaryota; Viridiplantae; Streptophyta; Magnoliopsida; Fabales; Fabaceae
Description: long non-coding RNA (MTRU_LNC007111)
Source: RNAcentral